CCUACGGGAGGCAGCAGUGGGGAAUUUUGGACAAUGGGGGAAACCCUGAUCCAGCAAUGCCGCGUGUGUGAAGAAGGCCUUCGGGUUGUAAAGCACUUUUGUCCGGAAAGAAAACUUCUGCCCUAAUACGGUGGGAGGAUGACGGUACCGGAAGAAUAAGCACCGGCUAACUACGUGCCAGCAGCCGCGGUAAUACGUAGGGUGCGAGCGUUAAUCGGAAUUACUGGGCGUAAAGCGUGCGCAGGCGGUUCGUUAAGACAGAUGUGAAAUCCCCGGGCUUAACCUGGGAACUGCAUUUGUGACUGGCGAGCUAGAGUAUGGCAGAGGGGGGUAGAAUUCCACGUGUAGCAGUGAAAUGCGUAGAGAUGUGGAGGAAUACCGAUGGCGAAGGCAGCCCCCUGGGCCAAUACUGACGCUCAUGCACGAAAGCGUGGGGAGCAAACAGGAUUAGAUACCCUGGUAGUCCACGCCCUAAACGAUGUCAACUAGUUGUUGGGUCUUCAUUGACUUAGUAACGUAGCUAACGCGUGAAGUUGACCGCCUGGGGAGUACGGUCGCAAGNUUAAAACUCAAAGGAAUUGACGGCNGAGAGNGCGAGACGACGACGAGGAGAG
RNAcentral lists this ribosomal RNA (614 nucleotides) under uncultured bacterium. RNAcentral describes it as "bacterial SSU rRNA". It matches the Rfam family "Bacterial small subunit ribosomal RNA", at positions 338 to 945 of the family's 1533-position model. The record is from RNAcentral.